Molecule: transfer RNA, 81 nt
Filed under: Paragonimus westermani
Lineage: Eukaryota; Metazoa; Platyhelminthes; Trematoda; Plagiorchiida; Troglotrematidae
Description: tRNA-Thr
Source: RNAcentral
AGCUUCCUAGCUCAGCUGAUAAAGCACAGUUCGGGUAUCAGUGUACGGCUGUGGUCUCUGGUUCGAGUCCAGCCGAAGCUU